Molecule: ribosomal RNA, 279 nt
Filed under: uncultured bacterium
Lineage: Bacteria
Description: partial 16S ribosomal RNA
Rfam family: Bacterial small subunit ribosomal RNA
Source: RNAcentral
UGCCAGCCGCCGCGGUAAUACGGAAGGUGCAAGCGUUGUUCGGAUUGACUGGGCGUAAAGCGCACGUAGGCGGGUUUAUAUGUCAGAUGUGAAAUCCCAGGGCUCAACCUUGGAACUGCAUUUGAAACUGUAGAUCUUGAAUGUCAGAGGGGUUUGUAGAAUUCCAGGUGUAGGAGUGAAAUCCGUAGAUAUCUGGAGGAAUACCGGCGGCGAAGGCGGCAGACUGGCUGUACAUUGACGCUGAGGUGCGAAAGCGUGGGGAGCAAACAGGAUUAGAUA